RNAcentral lists this ribosomal RNA (301 nucleotides) under uncultured bacterium. RNAcentral's name for it is "partial 16S ribosomal RNA". It matches the Rfam family "Bacterial small subunit ribosomal RNA", at positions 509 to 807 of the family's 1533-position model. The record is from RNAcentral.
CAGUCGCCGCGGUAAUACGAAGGGGGCUAGCGUUGUUCGGAUUAACUGGGCGUAAAGGGCGCGUAGGCGGGUUUUUAAGUCAGAGGUGAAAUCCCAAGGCUCAACCUUGGAACUGCCUUUGAUACUGGAAGUCUUGAGUCCGGGAGAGGUGAGUGGAACUGCGAGUGUAGAGGUGAAAUUCGUAGAUAUUCGCAAGAACACCAGUGGCGAAGGCGGCUCACUGGCCCGGUACUGACGCUGAGGCGCGAAAGCGUGGGGAGCAAACAGGAUUAGAUACCCCUGUAGUCCCUGUCUCUUAUAC